CUGAGGUGACCAAGAGGCAGAAGAGCA
RNAcentral lists this non-coding RNA (27 nucleotides) under Homo sapiens (human). The record is from RNAcentral. Lineage: Eukaryota; Metazoa; Chordata; Mammalia; Primates; Hominidae.